UGCCAGCAGCCGCGGUAAUACAGAGAGUGCAAACGUUGUUCGGAAUCACUGGGCUUAAAGCGCACGUAGGCGGCAUCGCAAGUGUCGGGUGAAAUCCCACGGCUUACCCGUGGAACUGCCCGGCAAACUGCGGUGCUAGAGUAUGGUAGGGGAGAGCGGAACUCAUGGUGGAGCGGUGAAAUGCGUAGAUAUCAUGAGGAACACCGGUGGCGAAGGCGGCUCUCUGGUCCAUAACUGACGCUGAGGUGCGAAAGCUAGGGUAGCGAACGGGAUUAGAUA
This 279-nucleotide ribosomal RNA is filed under the name uncultured bacterium. RNAcentral describes it as "partial 16S ribosomal RNA". It matches the Rfam family "Bacterial small subunit ribosomal RNA", at positions 506 to 784 of the family's 1533-position model. The record is from RNAcentral.